GGGGCCGUCGUCUAGCCUGGCUAGGAUGCCGGCCUGGGGGGCGCCGGUGGUCCCGGGUUCAAAUCCCGGCGGCCCCA
This 77-nucleotide transfer RNA is filed under the name Desulfurococcus mucosus DSM 2162. Its description in RNAcentral is "tRNA-Pro". It matches the Rfam family "tRNA". From Rfam's summary of the family: Transfer RNA (tRNA) molecules are approximately 80 nucleotides in length. Lineage: Archaea; Thermoproteati; Thermoproteota; Thermoprotei; Desulfurococcales; Desulfurococcaceae. The record is from RNAcentral.